RNAcentral lists this microRNA precursor (202 nucleotides) under Oryza sativa Japonica Group (Japanese rice). RNAcentral's name for it is "MIR812 microRNA precursor family". It matches the Rfam family "MIR812 microRNA precursor family". Lineage: Eukaryota; Viridiplantae; Streptophyta; Magnoliopsida; Poales; Poaceae. The record is from Rfam by way of RNAcentral.
AAUAAUUACAGUUUUGUACUAUUUACGUUCAAUGUUUGACUGUUUAUUUUAUUUAUUUUUUUUAUUAAUAUUUUUAUUGCUAUUAGAUAAUAAAACAUGAAUAAUAAUUUAUGUGUGACUAAAUAUUUUUAUUUUUUUACAAAAUUUUUAAAUAAGAUGGACGUUUAAACGUUGAGCACGGAUAUCCACGGCUGCACUUAUU